Molecule: ribosomal RNA, 753 nt
Filed under: uncultured archaeon
Lineage: Archaea
Description: bacterial SSU rRNA
Rfam family: Archaeal small subunit ribosomal RNA
Source: RNAcentral
GGAUAACCUACCCUUAGGACUGGGAUAACCCUGGGAAACUGGGGAUAAUACUAGAUAGGCAAUUUUUCCUGGAAUGGUUUUUUGUUUAAAUGUUUUUUCGCCUAAGGAUGGGUCUGCGGCCGAUUAGGUAGUUGGUUAGGUAACGGCUUACCAAGCCAUUGAUCGGUACGGGUUGUGAGAGCAAGAGCCCGGAGAUGGAACCUGAGACAAGGUUCCAGGCCCUACGGGGUGCAGCAGGCGCGAAACCUCCGCAAUGUGAGAAAUCGCGACGGGGGGAUCCCAAGUGCCAUUCUUAACGGGAUGGCUUUUCAUUAGUGUAAAGAGCUUUUGGAAUAAGGGCUGGGCAAGACCGGUGCCAGCCGCCGCGGUAACACCGGCAGCUCUAGUGGUAGCAGUUUUUAUUGGGCCUAAAGCGUCCGUAGCCGGUUUAAUAAGUCUCUGGUGAAAUCCUGUAGCUUAACUGUGGGAAUUGCUGGAGAUACUAUUAGACUUGAGACCGGGAGAGGUUAGAGGUACUCCCAGGGUAGAGGUGAAAUUCUGUAAUCCUGGGAGGACCGCCUGUUGCGAAGGCGUCUAACUGGAACGGUUCUGACGGUGAGGGACGAAAGUUAGGGGCGCGAACCGGAUUAGAUACCCGGGUAGUCCUAACUGUAAACGAUGCGGACUUGGUGUUGGGGUGGCUUUGAGCUGCUCCAGUGCCGAAGGGAAGCUGUUAAGUCCGCCGCCUGGGAAGUACGGUCGCAAGACUGAAAC